GACGAACGCUGGCGGCGUGCUUAACACAUACAAGUCGAGCGGUAAGGCCCUUUCGGGGUACGACGAGCGGCGAACGGGUAGGAGUAACAACGUGGGUGGACCUCGCCCUCCAGCUCUGGGAGUAAGACCCGGGAACCGUAGGGUCGUAAUAACUGGAUAUGACUCCAUGACGCAUGUUGUGGGGUGGGAAAGCCUUGUGCGGCUGAGGAUGGGCCCGGCCGGCCUAUCAGCUUGUUGGUGGGGUGAUGGCCUACCAAGGCGACGACGGGUAGCCGGCCU
This 279-nucleotide ribosomal RNA is filed under the name uncultured bacterium. RNAcentral describes it as "partial 16S ribosomal RNA". It matches the Rfam family "Bacterial small subunit ribosomal RNA", at positions 28 to 293 of the family's 1533-position model. The record is from RNAcentral.